This is a non-coding RNA of Paramuricea clavata, 215 nucleotides long. NCBI's taxonomy places the organism in Eukaryota, Metazoa, Cnidaria, Anthozoa, Malacalcyonacea, Plexauridae. The record is from the annotation of a GenBank genome assembly.
CUUCUUUCCGUUAUCAUAUAAAUAUCUAUUGACCUCUGUGUUAGUUCACUUAACGUUUGUUUGGAAGGAAAACUACAAUUAGCCUUUCUCACGAUGACGAAUAUCCGCCAUUUUUGGGUGGCAUGUAAUUCUCGUUAACCAGUGCAGACAAUUAAAACAAUGUGAAAAGCAAUUUUUCAAAAUCAACUAACCAUUUACAAAGCAAAUUUACCAUC